Molecule: ribosomal RNA, 250 nt
Filed under: uncultured bacterium
Lineage: Bacteria
Description: partial 16S ribosomal RNA
Rfam family: Bacterial small subunit ribosomal RNA
Source: RNAcentral
UGGGGAAUUUUGGACAAUGGGGGCAACCCUGAUCCAGCCAUGCCGCGUGAGUGAAGAAGGCCUUCGGGUUGUAAAGCUCUUUCGGCCGGAACGAAAUCGCUCGGGUGAACAAUCCGAGUGGAUGACGGUACCGGAAGAAGAAGCACCGGCUAACUACGUGCCAGCAGCCGCGGUAAUACGUAGGGUGCGAGCGUUAAUCGGAAUUACUGGGCGUAAAGCGUGCGCAGGCGGCUCUUCAAGUCAGGUGUGA